This 467-nucleotide ribosomal RNA is filed under the name uncultured bacterium. Its description in RNAcentral is "partial 16S ribosomal RNA". It matches the Rfam family "Bacterial small subunit ribosomal RNA", at positions 28 to 507 of the family's 1533-position model. The record is from RNAcentral.
GAUGAACGCUGGCGGCGUGCUUAACACAUGCAAGUCGAACGGAAAGGCCCAAGCUUGCUUGGGUACUCGAGUGGCGAACGGGUGAGUAACACGUGGGUGAUCUGCCCUUCACUUCGGGAUAAGACUUGGAAACUGGGUCUCAUAUCAGAUAUGACCACUUCUUGCAUGUUGUGGUGGAAAGUUUUUUCGGUGUGGUAUCAGCUCGCGGCCUAUCAGCUUCUUUGUGGCGUAAUGGCCUACCAAGGCGUUGACGGGUAGUCGGUCUGUGGGAGUGUACGGCCGCAUUGGGACUGACGUGCGGCACAGGCUCCGAAGGGAGGCAGCAGUGGGGAAUCUUGCACGAUGGGCGCAAGGCUGAUGCAGCGGGGCCGCGUGGCGGAUGACGGCCUUCGGGUUGAAGACUCAUUUCGCUAGGAACGAAGCGUUUUGUGACGGUACCUAGAGAAGAAGCACCGGCUAACUACGUG